This 122-nucleotide small RNA is filed under the name Marmota monax (woodchuck). The record is from RNAcentral. Lineage: Eukaryota; Metazoa; Chordata; Mammalia; Rodentia; Sciuridae.
UCUGGGCAUGGUGGUGCAUGCCUGUAAUCCCAGAGGCUCAGGAGGCUGAGGCAGGAGGACUGAGUAGGCCAGUCUCAGCAACUUAGUGAGGCCUCAAGCAACUUUGCAAGAGCCUGUCUCAU